AAUGUGGAAAGGACGAGUUUUUCCAGACUGAAGCAGUGGAGCAGUUUCAUCAGCUGGUGCCCCAGAAGGUCAGCAUGGAGUUUGAGAAUACUAGUAUAACCCUGUCCAUGCACAGCCAGAAAAGGUGAGUCAUAAGACAUGGAGUUAGUAUGAAUUAUAUUUUAUGUGUUGGUUUGUGUUUCUGUUAUUCCAUUUUCUUCAUCCUUUGACUAUCUGAAUCAUCGGACGUGAGGACGAGCAGCUGUCGCUCAGGAGCUUCACCCCUGAGAUGAGCUUCCCUCAGAGCAGCCUGGAGCUACUUCUGGAGGAUGGGCUUCUCCUCUCCCAGAGCAGACAGAGAAUCCUUUGCCUUAACACCCUCAGGACUGUCUUGCGAGUGGUGUGGAUUUGAUUGAUAUAGUUACUAGUUUUCAUAGUUGCAUUGCAUCAACAUAGCUUUUUGCAAAUAUGUUUGACAUUUGAUCUCUCGUAAUAAAUAAGUUUGUUCUGAAGUCUCCUGCUUAUCUCCCACUCAUGUCCCCAGGUGACAUCAGUGGACAUUUCAGGGCCAGUCACAGUCAACACCUGCAUCAUCCACUACCGUCACCAGGAGUUCUCCCAUUGGCUAGACCUGUUUCCAUGGGAACAGCUUAUUCAUAGGAAAACAGCUCAUAGAAAGAGGAACUUCCCCCACCUGGACACCCCAGUGAUGAUCAGCUCCUCAGUGUCCAAUGUCAAUGUGUCUGGGAGACACUCCUCCCUUCGCCCUGGGCUUCAUCUCAGUCAGCACAGGUACAGCACAACACACACUCACACAAGGCAUGGUCAAAAUAUACUCCCGUUGCAUUAAAGGUCAAGAAUAUGUUGUGGAAACACAAAGUUUAGUCUUGCCUGGAGAGGAAUGACAGGAAUGCUAAUGAACAGCAGUGGGUGUUUUUCUUCAGUUCAUUCUGCUUUCAACAUUGCAGUGGUUUCAGGAAGUCAUGGUGCUGGAGCUGUUGAAUCAACCCUUUCCAAAAAUACCCAGCCCUGAAAAAUUAUAUAAGUCAUCAGAAGUGUUUUUAGAUGCAGCACUUCCUGGACAUCAGCACAAACGCAGAGAGCCUCAAUAUCCAGAAUGUUCACCACCACCUCUCUAUGUCCCUGGCAAACACGUGUGGGGGGAAGCCCUCAUCCUCAACUCCCUUACACUGCAGGCAUACAAGGUAGGCAAUAACUAUUUAGGGUUACUCACUCACUACUACUCCCCAAGGUUUCAGCUGGGUUCC
Molecule: long non-coding RNA, 1247 nt
Organism: Oncorhynchus kisutch (coho salmon)
Lineage: Eukaryota; Metazoa; Chordata; Actinopteri; Salmoniformes; Salmonidae
Source: Ensembl